Molecule: ribosomal RNA, 112 nt
Filed under: Enterobacter asburiae
Lineage: Bacteria; Pseudomonadati; Pseudomonadota; Gammaproteobacteria; Enterobacterales; Enterobacteriaceae
Source: RNAcentral
UCUGGCGGCUUGCGGUGGUCCCACCUGACCCCAUGCCGAACUCAGAAGUGAAACGCCGUAGCGCCGAUGGUAGUGUGGGGUCUCCCCAUGUGAGAGUAGGGAACUGCCAGAC